GUGCCAGCAGCCGCGGUAAUUCCAGCUCCAAUAGCGUAUAUUAAAGUUGUUGUGGUUAAAAAGCUCGUAGUUGAACCUUGGGCCUGGCUGGCCGGUCCGCCUCACCGCGUGCACUGGUCCGGCCGGGCCUUUCCCUCUGUGGAACCCCAUACCCUUCACUGGGCGUGGCGGGGAAACAGGACAUUUACUUUGAAAAAAUUAGAGUGCUCCAGGCAGGCCUAUGCUCGAAUACAUUAGCAUGGAAUAAUAAAAUAGGACGCGCGGUUCUAUUUUGUUGGUUUAUAGGACCGCCGUAAUGAUUAAUAGGGACAGUCGGGGGCAUCAGUAUUCAACUGUCAGAGGUGAAAUUCUUGGAUCAGUUGAAGACUAACUACUGCGAAAGCAUUUGCCAAGGAUGUUUUCAUUAAUCAGGAACGAAAGUUAGGGGAUCGAAGACGAUCAGAUACCGUCGUAGUCUUAACCAUAAACUAUGCCGACUAGGGAUCGGACGGUGUUAUUCAUGACCCGUUCGGCACCUUACGAGAAAUCAAAGUGCUUGGGCUCCAGGGGGAGUAUGGUCGCAAGGCUGAAACUUAAAGAAAUUGACGGAAGGGCACCACCAGGGGUGGAGCCUGCGGCUUAAUUUGACUCAACACGGGGAAACUCACCAGGUCCAGACACAAUAAGGAUUGACAGAUUGAGAGCUCUUUCUUGAUUUUGUGGGUGGUGUGCAUGGCCGUUCUUAGUUGGUGGGGUGACUUGUCUGCUUAAUUGCGAUAACGAACGAGACCUUAACCUGCUAAAUAGCCCGCAUUGCUCCGGCAGUGCGCUGGCUUCUUAGAGGGACU
This 827-nucleotide ribosomal RNA is filed under the name uncultured fungus. RNAcentral describes it as "SSU rRNA". It matches the Rfam family "Eukaryotic small subunit ribosomal RNA", at positions 564 to 1421 of the family's 1831-position model. Lineage: Eukaryota; Fungi. The record is from RNAcentral.